Molecule: long non-coding RNA, 245 nt
Filed under: Aquila chrysaetos chrysaetos
Lineage: Eukaryota; Metazoa; Chordata; Aves; Accipitriformes; Accipitridae
Description: lncRNA (ENSACCG00020002766.1)
Source: RNAcentral
UGGCUGGGCUGAAUCCUGGGCUGGUUUCCGCUUCUUUGCUUGAGGUUGCUGGUGAUGUUCUCCCUGCCUUAACAGAAAGAUGUAAAGGCUACAGAAUUAAGGAUGUGACAGGCUGGCUUUUAGAGGAGGUAAAACUGAAUAACAUCAAUUUACAGGAAUUCAUACUUCCAGAUAAUAAAAUAGAAGUGGAUGUUUGUAUCUCCACAUUCUGGGAUUAAUAUUUAAGCUUAUUUCCUCAUUACUCC